UACGUAGGAAUCUGCCUGGCAAUGGGGGACAACUUGGGGAAACUCAAGCUAAUACCGCAUACGCCCUACGGGGGAAAGCGGGGGAUCUUCGGACCUCGCGUUGUUAGAUGAGCCUACGUCCGAUUAGCUAGUUGGUAGGGUAAAGGCCUACCAAGGCGACGAUCGGUAGCUGGUCUGAGAGGACGACCAGCCACACUGGGACUGAGACACGGCCCAGACUCCUACGGGAGGCAGCAGUGGGGAAUAUUGGACAAUGGGGGAAACCCUGAUCCAGCAAUGCCGCGUGUGUGAAGAAGGCCUGCGGGUUGUAAACCUCUUUCAGCAGGGACGAAGCGAAAGUGACUGUACCUGCAGAAGAAGCGCCGGCUAACUACGUG
RNAcentral lists this ribosomal RNA (377 nucleotides) under uncultured bacterium. RNAcentral describes it as "bacterial SSU rRNA". It matches the Rfam family "Bacterial small subunit ribosomal RNA", at positions 114 to 507 of the family's 1533-position model. The record is from RNAcentral.